UAAAUAGGGACUGAUAAUUACACCGCGUGCCUGGCUAGUUUACACCUGCUAAAAUGUCUACUUUUCAUACGGAAUAGUGGAUACACAACUUUCGUGUUGCAAAAUAGCUUGAAUGGAUCGUGAGAAACUUCUCGUUGCUUGCUCGCAAUUUGAAGUUGUAGUUACACAGAUAGAAAUUUUUAUAUCAUAUUGAAAUCUGAUGGGGGUGGAAGGCCGGUUCAUCGCAACUAUCCAACGGGUGCAGCACUGCUCAAAUAGCCUUCUAGCGAGCGAUAGGGAUGCCAACAAAAUCUAUAUAUAAAAAAGAUGUCAUCAUUCAUCACCUUACAGAACUAGAUCAUCUCAAUUCGAUCUCGAUCUUGUCAUUGAUGAGAAAGACAAUUUUAACACUGUAUAUAAUAAAUUCAUUAUCAAACAAUGAAGAGCAGUGAGUAUCCAGCUGAUACAUACCUAGCUAGCGAGAAGUAUCUACUUGAAUAGAUUUAGGUAUCUAUUUCAUAAGCAAUCAAUUAAAUAUUGAUAGAUUGCUAGAUAUCUAGUUAGGCUAGACAAAUUAUUAGAUAUCCAGCUGGUAGGCAUCUAGAUAGCUAGCAAUAUCUAAUUCUAUAGAAAUCAAUUGGAUAUCAAGUGG
RNAcentral lists this small RNA (631 nucleotides) under Histoplasma capsulatum. RNAcentral describes it as "hypothetical RNA". The record is from RNAcentral. Lineage: Eukaryota; Fungi; Ascomycota; Eurotiomycetes; Onygenales; Ajellomycetaceae. RNAcentral also lists the same sequence under 1 other name.